UACGGAGGGUGCAAGCGUUAAUCGGAAUUACUGGGCGUAAAGCGUGCGCAGGCGGUUUGUUAAGUCCGUUGUGAAAGCCCCGAGCUCAACUUGGGAAUUGCAGUGGAUACUGGCAGGCUGGAGUACGGUAGAGGAAGGUGGAAUUCCCGGUGUAGCAGUGAAAUGCGUAGAUAUCGGAAGGAACACCAGUGGCGAAAGCGGCUUCCUGGUCCGACACCGACGUUCAGGCACGAAAGCGUGGGGAGCAAACAGG
RNAcentral lists this ribosomal RNA (253 nucleotides) under uncultured bacterium. RNAcentral describes it as "partial 16S ribosomal RNA". It matches the Rfam family "Bacterial small subunit ribosomal RNA", at positions 524 to 776 of the family's 1533-position model. The record is from RNAcentral.